RNAcentral lists this ribosomal RNA (468 nucleotides) under uncultured bacterium. RNAcentral describes it as "partial 16S ribosomal RNA". It matches the Rfam family "Bacterial small subunit ribosomal RNA", at positions 28 to 507 of the family's 1533-position model. The record is from RNAcentral.
GACGAACGCUGGCGGCGUGCUUAACACAUGCAAGUCGAACGGAAAGGCGCUGCUUUUGUGGGGUGCCCGAGUGGCGAACGGGUGAGUAACACGUGAGUAACCUGCCCUUGACUGUGGGAUAACUUCAGGAAACUGGGGCUAAUACCGGAUAGGAGCUCCUGCUGCAUGGUGGGGGUUGGAAAGUUUCGGCGGAUGGGGAUGGACUUGCGGCUUAUCAGCUUGUUGGUGGGGUAGCGGCCUACCAAGGGAUUGACGGAUAGCCGGCCUGAGAGGGUGAACGGCGACAUUGGUACUGAGGUAGGGACCAGACUCGUACGGGAGGCAACAGUGGGGAAUAUUGCACAGUGAGCGGGAGCCUGAUGCAGCGACGCCGCGUGCGGGAUGACCGCCUUCGGGUUAUAAACCGCUUUCGCCUAUGACGAAGCGUGAGUGACGGUAAUAAGUAAAUAAGCACCGGCUAACUACGUG